RNAcentral lists this transfer RNA (64 nucleotides) under Xenograpsus ngatama. Its description in RNAcentral is "tRNA-Ala". The record is from RNAcentral. Lineage: Eukaryota; Metazoa; Arthropoda; Malacostraca; Decapoda; Xenograpsidae.
AAAGCUAUAGUCUAUGCUUAAGAUAUGUAAGUUGCAUUUACAAGAUGUUAUAAAACUAGUUUUA